Motacilla alba alba is the source of this 3367-nucleotide long non-coding RNA. RefSeq lists it as uncharacterized. Lineage: Eukaryota; Metazoa; Chordata; Aves; Passeriformes; Motacillidae. The record is from RefSeq and is a predicted model, not a curated record. The transcript has 3 exons.
CAGCUGAUGCGUGUACUGACCUCUCCAACAGCGACUACCCGCUCUGCAGAGCUACUGGGCCACAUCCUCAGGAGCUGGUCUGUUUCACGGCAAGAGGGAACCUGUCCCAGGAUAUUUUGGGAAGCAGGUGACUAUCAGGAGGCAACUGAAAGGAAUCUGAUGUAUGAACAGCCUUUAUGACUGAUGGUGAUGGUUUGAUGAGUGAAAUCCCUGUUCUUCAGAAGGAAUUUUACAUCAAUGAACUUCUUCUCUGCACUGAAAAAUAGGGGUUUCAAAACAAAACAGUUCAAAGGGCAGGAGCAUUGAACUCUUCCUGAUGCCUCACUCAAGAGUGUAAAUCAGCACGAUGUAUCACAUAUACUAAGUUUGGGAUAUUGAAAUGUCAAGUGCAAUUCUGAAGAAGGUAUGAAGGACACCCAGUGCCUAAGGAGACUGAACCACCAUUUCCUGAGAUACCUGCAGCCAGAAAGGAUGAAUGUGAUCAUGGCAUAAAAUAAAGUUAUUCAAACCUGGCAGCGCUCUUGGAAGAAGAUAGCUGUGCAAACUUUCCAUGUUAGGCUCAACAAAGUGACAAGCAACUGCAGAAUAGUUUGGUGACAAUAGCAGUGGAGAUUUCCUGUAUAUUCAGCAUGCUUUGGAAUGCAGGAUACAUAUCCAAGGUGCUUUAAGAGUUAGCACUUAGUAACAUCCUAACAUUGUCUCCUCAUGUUAAACUGCACAGUACUGUACACAUGCCAGUUUCCAUUUUAUUGUACAGGAUCUGGUUUGUUAGGGAAUGCUCAUUAAGUUCUCUUCAGUUAGCUAUUAGGCAUGCAAUGUAGGCUUUGCCUCUGUUUUUGUGGAGUGUGUGUUUAAAGCCCAUUUCUUAAGGCCCAUGGUUAUCCCAGGCCCACUGUUUGGGUAUGAAUGGUGUGUUUAUUGCGUUCUGGAAAACUGAACAUGAAAUAGAUUUGGGGUGUGCAGCAGACUGCAAACUUAAUUCAUGUCCAAGCAAGUUGGAGCAUGCUUCUGACUGAAUCACAUAUGGACAAGCAUCAGCUGCCUUGAAGUGCCAUAACCUGGCCAAUGACAGGUCAGCCAUGGGACUCUUCAUAGGAGGUCCCAGUGUUGUGAAAUACAAAGACAGAUGGAUUUGUAGGCCGUGUGAGCUCCAUUUCUUAGCCUGUAGGGAAUGCUACAAGUGUCCUGUAUUUGACCAUGAAAAGCACUAAGACACAUCAAGGUGCAUAGUAGCCUUAGUGAGCUCCAUGGUCCAGCCCCUAAGGUGCCAUGCAGACAUAAUCAUAUUAAUGAUCUAGUCUAGUUCUUUUACCCUCUUCCACAAGCCAACCCUUCAAUAUCAAAAAGUGUUUCGAUUUAGACUCUUCUUUACAGAGAAAAGAAAGCUCUGAGAUAUGUAGAGCAAAUAAUUAUAAUAAUUACUUGACAGCAUUAUUAUUACAGUGUUCCACCUGCUCUCUUGUUCUCCGCCAUUGCAACAGCAACUCAUUUGUUCAGUCUUGACUUGAGUGAAGCACUGCAGUUUCUUUCCAGCUCCUCCAGUGAUGGAGAGAAACUGCAGUGCUGUGCAGGACCUGAAAAUGUGAGUGCAAAAAAUAUGCUUUGCAGCUCUUUGGUUGGCAGAAUGCCCCACCGUAUGACCCAGCCUGCAGAGAAUGACCUGAAACUAUGGAAAUGGGACACAGCCUUUCCCUCUGCCAUGAACAGCUGUACUGCACCUACCUCUGGCCUCAAAGAUAGCGAGGGAUUAUAGUUCUUUUGCUUAUAGCAAUGUAGCUCACAUCAUCCAUUAACUUUGUGCAUGAUAAAAAUGCUUCAUUGUGGUGAUGCAUCCUCUCUUGCAACCAGCUCACAAAAUUGGCGAGAUAAACUUGAGAGAACAAGAUGCACUGUUCUGAAAGAUGAUACAGUUUAUUUACAUGCUCUGCAGAUCAGAGAGCUUGAGAAGGCAGUUUGCCUCCAAAAUAAAAUUGUUUGGUUUUAUUCCAUGUUCCAAUUCACAAUCAUAUACUAUUUGCUCUUCAAUUAUUGUCCUCGUAGCUUCUUUAUUUUUACUGCUUUCCAUAUUUCUAAUGCUGAACUUUUCUCAUACUAUUUUUCUCCAUAUAAUUAACUUUGAAUUUUCUAAGCAAACUUUCCUUGGUUUACCUAUUUCCUUCCUGUAUUUGCAACCACCUUUUGCUCUUCUCUUUUAUCUCUGUUUUCACUACUUUUGCAACGCCUUCUAAUUUGCUUGCUAUCUUCUUCUUAACACUCCUCUCUUUCAUAUUACUAAUAAUACUGUUAAGUACGACAUUUUUAAGAGAUUGUGCUGCUUCCUUUCUUGCAUUCUCAAAGACUCUUGGCAGCAUGCAACCUGAAGAAAUCUGUUUCCCUAAAGAUCAAUGUGAAUAAAUGGUAGGACACAUUGUUUAGGGAGCAUAUUGUAGUUCUGAGGAACUGGCACCUCUCUGAUCUUUCAACAAGGACCACUCCUACCUUACACUCAGAGAGUUCACAAACUCAGGUUUUGCUAAAUUUAAGUAGAAGAUUCACGGAUUGUAGAUGUAGCUAGAGAUUUUUUAAAAAUCCAGAGAUUUUUUUAUAAAUCCACUGUGCUGAAGAAACUGUCCUCUCCAGCCACAUCAAUCUAUUAACUCUAACUUCGGCUCCUUCCAUGCAUGCUAAAAUCCUGCUCUGCAUGCCAUUCUUGUCCAAGUACAGCCAGCUGAAACAAGAUGAUGUGCUGUUUAUCUUCCUGCAAGGUAGCCAGAAAUGGUACUGUGCCCAUACUGCUUAUAAUAUUUUGGCUGUCAAUCAUCUGCUACAAGUACCUGAACAGUGAAAAACUCAGAAACAACUCCUCUCCAAUAUCCAUUACCAACAAUCUUUGCUCAAAAUGUUCAGAUGUAAUCAAGAUAGCAAGGAACCAGGGAAUUUUCUGUUAUAUCUUUCUCACCUCUACAUUAAUUUUGGUAUAACUUAAAGCUAUUUAUUCAGUUGUUUGUUUAAUGGUGAAAUUUUAGUGCUUUUUUAAGGCUUCUGUAUGGCAGGAAACUAAGCCUAGUAUUUAACCUAAUUAAUCAGCUUUUUCUGACUCUAUUCCUACUAAACACCAGAAAAAAACACAAAAGAUCAAUUUGUUUAAUAUAUGUGACAUGCUAUAUUAGUAAGCAUAUUUAAUACAGUACAUCAUGCAUCUUUUUAUUUUGUUUUGUAAAUCUUCAAGCAUCCUGUGAAGUUCAGUUACAUUUUUAAGUAUUUCUCAUAACAAUGCAGACAAGAAUCUCCCAACUCAAAAGAAUUUUAAUAUUUUUUCUUAGUGAUUACCAGUUUGACUGUUGGUUCAGUAAAGUGAAAUGGAUCCCAGCAUAGCUGUCAGGUGAAA